CUUAAUUGGGCGUUAAGUUGCAGGGUAUAGACCCGAAACCCGGUGAUCUAGCCAUGGGCAGGUUGAAGGUUGGGUAACACUAACUGGAGGACCGAACCGACUAAUGUUGAAAAAUUAGCGGAUGACCUGUGGCUGGGGGUGAAAGGCCAAUCAAACCGGGAGAUAGCUGGUUCUCCCCGAAAGCUAUUUAGGUAGCGCCUCGUGAAUUCAUCUCCGGGGGUAGAGCACUGUUUCGGCUAGGGGGCCAUCCCGGCUUACCAACCCGAUGCAAACUGCGAAUACCGGAGAAUGUUAUCACGGGAGACACACGGCGGGUGCUAACGUCCGUCGUGAAGAGGGAAACAACCCAGACCGCCAGCUAAGGUCCCAAAGUCAUGGUUAAGUGGGAAACGAUGUGGGAAGGCCCAGACAGCCAGGAUGUUGGCUUAGAAGCAGCCAUCAUUUAAAGAAAGCGUAAUAGCUCACUGGUCGAGUCGGCCUGCGCGGAAGAUGUAACGGGGCUAAACCAUGCACCGAAGCUGCGGCAGCGAACGUAUCACUUAAAGCGAUUCAGCGGGUUACGAUUGACGGAGCGAAGCGACGUCAAAGCGUAUACAAAGUCGAGUCGGUUUAAGGAUACGUUCGUUGGGUAGGGGAGCGUUCUGUAAGCCUGUGAAGGUGUGUCGUGAGGCAUGCUGGAGGUAUCAGAAGUGCGAAUGCUGACAUAAGUAACGAUAAAGCGGGUGAAAAGCCCGCUCGCCGGAAGACCAAGGGUUCCUGUCCAACGUUAAUCGGGGCAGGGUGAGUCGACCCCUAAGGCGAGGCCGAAAGGCGUAGUCGAUGGGAAACGGGUUAAUAUUCCCGUACUUGGUGUUACUGCGAAGGGGGGACGGAGAAGGCUAUGUUGGCCGGGCGACGGUUGUCCCGGUUUAAGCGUGUAGGCUGGUUUUCCAGGCAAAUCCGGAAAAUCAAGGCUGAGGCGUGAUGACGAGGCACUACGGUGCUGAAGCAACAAAUGCCCUGCUUCCAGGAAAAGCCUCUAAGCAUCAGGUAACAUCAAAUCGUACCCCAAACCGACACAGGUGGUCAGGUAGAGAAUACCAAGGCGCUUGAGAGAACUCGGGUGAAGGAACUAGGCAAAAUGGUGCCGUAACUUCGGGAGAAGGCACGCUGACACGUAGGUGAAGUGAUUUACUCAUGGAGCUGAAGUCAGUCG
This 1195-nucleotide ribosomal RNA is filed under the name Salmonella enterica subsp. enterica serovar Derby. RNAcentral describes it as "partial 23S ribosomal RNA". It matches the Rfam family "Bacterial large subunit ribosomal RNA", at positions 683 to 1789 of the family's 2925-position model. The record is from RNAcentral. Lineage: Bacteria; Pseudomonadati; Pseudomonadota; Gammaproteobacteria; Enterobacterales; Enterobacteriaceae.